This 480-nucleotide ribosomal RNA is filed under the name uncultured alpha proteobacterium SUR-FREE-32. RNAcentral describes it as "partial 16S ribosomal RNA". The record is from RNAcentral. Lineage: Bacteria; Pseudomonadati; Pseudomonadota; Alphaproteobacteria.
GGUUACCUUGUUACGACUUCACCCCAGUCGCUGAUCCUACCGUGGCCGCCUGCCCCCCGAAGGUUAGCGCAGCGUCGUCGGGUAGAACCAACUCCCAUGGUGUGACGGGCGGUGUGUACAAGGCCCGGGAACGUAUUCACCGCGUCAUGCUGUUACGCGAUUACUAGCGAUUCCGACUUCAUGGGGUCGAGUUGCAGACCCCAAUCCGAACUGAGACAGUUUUUUGGGAUUAACCCAUUGUCACUGCCAUUGUAGCACGUGUGUAGCCCAACCCGUAAGGGCCAUGAGGACUUGACGUCAUCCACACCUUCCUCCCGCUUAUCACGGGCAGUUUCCAUAGAGUGCCCAGCCGAACUGCUGGCAACUAGGGAUGUGGGUUGCGCUCGUUGCCCGACUUAACCGAACAUCUCACGACACGAGCUGACAAGAGCCAUGCAGCACCUGUUUCUCGUCCAGCCAAACUGAAAGCCCUUCUCUGGA